RNAcentral lists this ribosomal RNA (852 nucleotides) under uncultured Acidobacteriota bacterium. RNAcentral describes it as "bacterial SSU rRNA". It matches the Rfam family "Bacterial small subunit ribosomal RNA", at positions 58 to 914 of the family's 1533-position model. The record is from RNAcentral. Lineage: Bacteria; Pseudomonadati; Acidobacteriota.
CAAGUCGAGCGAGAAAAGGGGGGCAACUCCCUGAGUAAAGCGGCGCACGGGUGAGUAACACGUGGGUAAUCUGCCCUGGAGUGGGGAAUAACACCGGGAAACCGGUGCUAAUACCGCAUACGAUAGCGGGAUCUGCGGAUUUCGUUAUGAAAGGAGCAAUUCGCUCUAGGAGGAGCCCGCGGCUGAUUAGCUAGUUGGUGAGGUAAUGGCUCACCAAGGCUACGAUCAGUAUCCGGUCUGAGAGGACGGUCGGACACACUGGAACUGAGACACGGUCCAGACUCCUACGGGAGGCAGCAGUGGGGAAUUUUUGGCAAUGGGGGCAACCCUGACCAAGCAACGCCGCGUGGGUGAUGAAGUCUCUUGGGACGUAAAACCCUUUCGACGGGGAAGAAACCGCAAGGUUGACGGUACCCGUAGAAGAAGCCCCGGCUAACUCCGUGCCAGCAGCCGCGGUAAUACGGGGGGGGCAAGCGUUGUUCGGAAUUACUGGGCGUAAAGGGUGCGUAGGCGGUCUGUUAAGUUGGAUGUGAAAACUCUGGGCUCAACCCAGAGCCUGCAUCCAAAACUGGCAGGCUAGAGUUCUGGAGGGGGUAGCGGAAUUCCUGGUGUAGCGGUGAAAUGCGUAGAUAUCAGGAGGAACACCGGUGGCGAAGGCGGCUACCUGGACAGAAACUGACNCUGAGGCACGAAAGCUAGGGGAGCAAACAGGAUUAGAUACCCUGGUAGUCCUAGCCCUAAACGAUGGAUACUUGCUGUGACUGGGAUUGAAUCCAGUCGUGGCGAAGCUAACGCAUUAAGUAUCCCGCCUGGGGAGUACGGUCGCAAGGCUGAAACUUCAAAGGAAUUGAC